CACGGGGGGAGCAAGCGUUGUUCGGAAUCACUGGGCGUAAAGGGCGUGUAGGCGGUCAAGUAAGUGGAAUGUGAAAGCCCCCGGCUUACCCGGGGAUCUGCAUCCCAAACUGCUUGGCUUGAGUACGGGAGAGGAUAGGGGAAUUCCUGGUGUAGCGGUGAAAUGCGUAGAUAUCAGGAGGAACACCGGUGGCGAAGGCGGUUCUCUGGGCAUUACCUGACGCUGAGGAGCGAAAGUGUGGGGAGCGAACAGG
This 253-nucleotide ribosomal RNA is filed under the name uncultured bacterium. RNAcentral's name for it is "partial 16S ribosomal RNA". It matches the Rfam family "Bacterial small subunit ribosomal RNA", at positions 524 to 776 of the family's 1533-position model. The record is from RNAcentral.